RNAcentral lists this transfer RNA (72 nucleotides) under Candidatus Uhrbacteria bacterium. Its description in RNAcentral is "tRNA-Arg". It matches the Rfam family "tRNA". From Rfam's summary of the family: Transfer RNA (tRNA) molecules are approximately 80 nucleotides in length. Their secondary structure includes four short double-helical elements and three loops (D, anti-codon, and T loops). Further hydrogen bonds mediate the characteristic L-shaped molecular structure. tRNAs have two regions of fundamental functional importance: the anti-codon, which is responsible for specific mRNA codon recognition, and the 3' end, to which the tRNAs corresponding amino acid is attached (by aminoacyl-tRNA synthetases). tRNAs cope with the degeneracy of the genetic code in two manners: having more than one tRNA (with a specific anti-codon) for a particular amino acid; and 'wobble' base-pairing, i.e. permitting non-standard base-pairing at the 3rd anti-codon position. The record is from RNAcentral. Lineage: Bacteria; Candidatus Uhriibacteriota.
GCCCCUGUAGCUCAAUGGAUAGAGCAUCGGUCUUCGGAACCGAGGAUGGGGGUUCAAUUCCCUCCAGGGGCA